GCGUGAGGAACGCUCCGAAUCCAAGGUUUCUAUUCAAGCGCGAUCUGAGAACGGCGCUUCAUUCUGUAUGGCGGUCGCGGGCGCCCCCUAGCGGCCAAGGGAGGAAUCGCGCCCCAGUCCGUGACCCCGCUCCGCUCUGUCCCGCUCCCACGCAGCUCACAGCUCUCCCGGCGCUCAGCGCUUCAGCGGCUCACGCUCAGCAUCGUCCCGACGCUGUCGCUGUCAUUACGUACAGAGAUUAUACGAGAGGGUUAUAAGUUGGACAUGGCCUGGAUCCGCACUGAAGCAUGCUGUUGCCUCGGGGGUUCAGAUCACAGCGACCUGCAAUGCUGGCUUUGGAGGGAUCCUUAACGAUCACAUCAUUGUGGGAUGGUUGCUUUGAAAGGUCAGGAUCACUCUCCCCAAGCCCUUAUCAAGCACCUGCAGCAACGCACCCAGCAGUGUGAGCACAGCACGCAGCAGCGCUCCAUCCCGUGUGUGUGUCAUGCACCUAAAGGCCCUGACUGAAGAACACUCCUGGCAUGGAGCAUGGAACAAACUAUUCUGGCACUUGGAAGGGAGCUGAGAGUUGUGCCUGGAGCUGCAAGGAUCUUGUUUCAUAGGGAGCCGGCCUUGGGAUUUGAGCUUGCUUGGCAAGCCAGUAUUCCGCUUGGCUCUGUAUCACGCACUGGCCACGCGGGUGCAGCGUGCAAUGGAACCACCCUGCAGAGCCCGGGGAGAAUCCAAGCAGGAGAGAGGCUGCGGUGGGAGAGAGGCCGAGUGCCCCUUGAAGCAUAUAUAUAAAGCCAUAACCCUCAGUGCUGCUCUGAGCGCGCGGCUUGCUUGCCUCUGCUCCUGAGACAUCCCGUCCCGCAGCUCCAAGCGUACCCUGGAGCAGCACUGUUACAGCUUCAGCCGCACUCACCCAGUCAGGACGUCAGCCAGCUGAGGGAAGGAAUGCCCCUCGUGACGCUCGAGCACGCUUGCUCACUAGUAUCGAUUCUAUCCGACAUGCAACUCGACGAAGCUGUGUGACCAUUGAUUUUCUAUUGGCCCAAAGGCAUGGUUACGAGCACGCGGAAAGCACGUGUUGCACAAAUUGUAGUGAUCAUUCCAAAUCAAUACAUCAGAGAUACAAAAGCUGAAGAUCCUCUUGAAUCGGUUACAGGUGCACACAGAAUGGGACCCUCACGGAUCCUUUCCCAGGUUGCAGAAACUUGGGCCGUGGGCCAAACAAGUGUUCAUUCUUUUUUUUAAUGGGUUUCACAGUAUUUCUUGUCAUUAUGCUAUGUUUGCCUUGUCUCUUUUCUUACGUUUAGCGUGUUGUCAAUGGAGGCCUUGAUCGAGUUACGAUGGUUAUAUUAUUAAUAAGAUUAGUGCUAUUAUUUGAUAGAAUAGUAAGAGUUGGCUAAUAAACAAAACAGGGGGGAUUGUGGGGAUACAGGAAAGACUGUGCAGAGCAGAAGCUGCGGAGCAAGACAGACAGCGUGAGAAGGCAAGGCUGAGAGCCACGGACACCUCCAGAAGAAGAGAAAAGCCAAAGGAACAGCUCCUGGCUCUGAUGGGAUAAGCACCCGCAUGCACGGUCUCUAUUUUGAGGGGGUCCCAUUUGGGGGUCUCUAUUUGGGGGAUCCCAUUUGGGGGUCACUAUUUUGAGGGGUCCCAUUUGGGGGUCUCUAUUUGGGGGAUGCCAUUUGGGGGUCUCUAUUCUGGGGGGGGUCCCAUUUGGGGGUCUCUAUUUCGGGGAUCCCAUUACGGGGGUCUCUAUUUUGAGGGGCCCCAUUUGGGGGUCUCUAUUUCGGGGAUCCCAUUACGGGGGUGUCUAUUUUGAGGGGACCCAUUUAGGGGUCUAUAUUUCGGGGGGGUCCCAUUUGGGGGUCUCUAUUCUGGGGGGAGUCCCAUUUGGGGGUCUCAAUUUCGGGGGUCCCAACUGGGGGUCCCAUUUGGGGGUCUCUAUUUGGGGUUCUCUAUUUUGAGGGCUCCCAUUUGGGGGUCUCUAUUUGGGGGUGUUGGAAAUAUCCAAAUAAUUGAUCAGGGCGGUAUCUCUGAUCAAAGCAGAUUUUAUUCGCAAUUGUAAUGGCGGGCAUGCUGCAAGCAGGAGCCCUGCAGAAAGCAGUGUUCCAUCUUUGAUGCCCUUUCCAGUCCAUCGUACUAUUCCCAUACUGUUCACAACUAUUACAGUUUUACAAGUGAUAAUCAAUCACACAAUUCAACAACUCUACUUCUAAAACAUGUUACUGAAAUGGCUGGUAUUUCUACUUUUUCAAAUGAGGUGUUUCUAAGGGCAAGUUACAAAAUACAUGGUGCUCUACUUCUUUA
Long non-coding RNA from Numida meleagris (helmeted guineafowl), 2298 nucleotides. RefSeq lists it as uncharacterized. The record is from RefSeq and is a predicted model, not a curated record. The transcript has 2 exons. NCBI's taxonomy places the organism in Eukaryota, Metazoa, Chordata, Aves, Galliformes, Numididae.